CCUACGGGAGGCAGCAGUGGGGAAUCUUGCACAAUGGGGGAAACCCUGAUGCAGCGACGCCUCGUGAACGAUGAAGCCCUUCGGGGUGUAAAGUUCUUUCGACGGGAACGAUAAUGACGGUACCCGGAGAAGAAGCUGCGGCUAACUACGUGCCAGCAGCCGCGGUAAUACGUAGGCAGCGAGCGUUGUUCGGAAUUACUGGGCGUAAAGGGUGUGUAGGUGGUGGCGUAAGUUCUGUGUGAAAUCUCCCGGCUUAACCGGGAGGGUGCGCAGAAGACUGCGUCGCUAGAGUAUGGGAGAGGUAAGCGGAAUUUCUGGUGUAGCGGUGAAAUGCGUAGAUAUCAGAAGGAACACCUGUGGUGUAGACGGCUUACUGGACCAUUACUGACACUGAGACACGAAAGCGUGGGUAGCAAACAGGAUUAGAUACCCUGGUAGUCCACGCCCUAAACGAUGCAUACUUGGUGUGAGCCAUUCAUUUGGUUCGUGCCGGAGCUAACGCGUUAAGUAUGCCGCCUGGGGAGUACGGUCGCAAGGCUGAACUAGAAUGACGUGNGNGNGNGCGNGCGACGACGAGAGAGG
RNAcentral lists this ribosomal RNA (582 nucleotides) under uncultured bacterium. Its description in RNAcentral is "bacterial SSU rRNA". It matches the Rfam family "Bacterial small subunit ribosomal RNA", at positions 338 to 944 of the family's 1533-position model. The record is from RNAcentral.